RNAcentral lists this ribosomal RNA (253 nucleotides) under uncultured prokaryote. RNAcentral describes it as "partial 16S ribosomal RNA". It matches the Rfam family "Bacterial small subunit ribosomal RNA", at positions 524 to 776 of the family's 1533-position model. The record is from RNAcentral.
UACGAAGGGAGCUAGCGUUGUUCGGAAUUACUGGGCGUAAAGGGCGCGUAGGCGGAUGGCACAGUCAGAUGUGAAAUUCCCGGGCUUAACCUGGGGGCUGCAUUUGAUACGUGUUGUCUGGAGUGAGGAAGAGGGUCGUGGAAUUCCCAGUGUAGAGGUGAAAUUCGUAGAUAUUGGGAAGAACACCGGUGGCGAAGGCGGCGACCUGGACGGACAUUGACGCUGAGACGCGAAAGCGUGGGGAGCAAACAGG